Molecule: long non-coding RNA, 559 nt
Filed under: Pongo abelii (Sumatran orangutan)
Lineage: Eukaryota; Metazoa; Chordata; Mammalia; Primates; Hominidae
Description: lincRNA
Source: RNAcentral
AGUUUUAAAAAAGUACACUAACUAAGGUAAGGGUUCAUGAUUACUACAUUGUUGAAUACGCUCAAGCAGUCUGGAAGACUGUCGAGUGUUGCUUUGGAGGAGAUUUCUACCCUGGCUUAUCUUGAAAUGUCAGACUCUCUGGAACUACUAGACUCAGCAUAAACAACAGAAGUUGGUUUUACUCUGUGGGACUCCACUUUACAAUGGGCUUUCCUUUCCCUGCCCAAACUCCAGAGAUCGAGUUUCACUCUUGUUUCCCAGGCCGGAGUGCAGUGGCGCAAUCUUGGCUGACUGCAACCUCCGCCUCCCAGGUUCAAGUGAUUCUCCUGCCUCAGCCUCCAGAGUAGCUGGGACUACAGAAAAAUACAUAGCGGCUUGGAUUGCUGGCAAGAUGGUCAACUAGGAAAAGCUCUGGUCUGCAGCUUCCAGCGAGAUUGACACAGAAGAGUCUUGCUCUGUCGCCCAGGCUGCAGUGCAGUGGUGUGAUCUCGGCUCACUUCAGCCUCCACCUCCCAGAUUCAAGCAAUUCUCCUGCCUCGGCCUCCUGAGUAUCUGGGAU